CCAAUAGCGUAUAUUAAAGUUGUUGCAGUUAAAAAGCUCGUAGUUGAAUUUCGAGACCGGUUUACUGGUCGUGCUUUUGUACGUACUGGUAUUAUUGGUUUCUCCUUUCUGACGAAUCAUAAUGCCAUUAAUUUGGUGUUUUGGGGAAUCAGGACUGUUACUUUGAAAAAAUUAGAGUGUUUAAAGCAGGCUCACGCUUGAAUACAUUAGCAUGGAAUAACGAAAUAGGACGUUUGAUUUUAUUUUGUUGGUUUCUAGGAUCGACGUAAUGAUUAAUAGGGAUAGUUGGGGGCAUUAGUAUUCAAUUGUCAGAGGUGAAAUUCUUGGAUUUAUUGAAGACUAACUACUGCGAAAGCAUUUGCCAAGGAUGUUUUCAUUAAUCAAGAACGAAAGUUAGGGGAUCGAAGACGAUCAGAUACCUUCGUAGUCUUAACCAUAAACUAUGCCGACUAGGGAUCGGAUGAUGUUAAUUUUUUAAUGACUCAUUCGGCGCCUUACG
Molecule: ribosomal RNA, 499 nt
Filed under: uncultured Glomeromycotina
Lineage: Eukaryota; Fungi; Glomeromycota
Description: partial small subunit ribosomal RNA
Rfam family: Eukaryotic small subunit ribosomal RNA
Source: RNAcentral